GCGCGAAAACUUUACAAUGCGAGCAAUCGUGAUAAGGGAACCCCGAGUGCCUGUAUACGCAGGCUGUUCAGAUGUCUAAACCACAUCUGGAGAAAGGGCCGGGCAAGACCGGUGCCAGCCGCCGCGGUAAUACCGGCGGCUCGAGUGGUGGCCACUAUUACUGGGCUUAAAGCGUCCGUAGCUGGGUUGUUAAGUCUCCUGGGAAAUCUGCCGGCUUAACCGUCAGGCGUUCAGGAGAUACUGGCAAUCUCGGGACCGGGGGAGGUGAGAGGUACUCCGGGGGUAGGAGUGAAAUCCUGUAAUCCUUGGGGGACCACCUGUGGCGAAGGCGUCUCACCAGAACGGCUCCGACAGUGAGGGACGAAAGCUGGGGGAGCAAACCGGAUUAGAUACCCGGGUAGUCCCAGCCGUAAACGAUGCGCGUUAGGUGUAUCGGUGACCACGAGUCACCGAGGUGCCGAAGAGAAAUCGUGAAACGUGCCGCCUGGGAAGUACGGUCGCAAGGCUGAAACUUAAAGGAAUUGGCGGGGGAGCACCACAACAGGUGG
This 548-nucleotide ribosomal RNA is filed under the name uncultured Methanomicrobiales archaeon. Its description in RNAcentral is "bacterial SSU rRNA". It matches the Rfam family "Archaeal small subunit ribosomal RNA", at positions 339 to 891 of the family's 1478-position model. The record is from RNAcentral. Lineage: Archaea; Methanobacteriati; Methanobacteriota; Methanomicrobia; Methanomicrobiales.